RNAcentral lists this ribosomal RNA (2902 nucleotides) under Klebsiella pneumoniae. RNAcentral's name for it is "23S ribosomal RNA". It matches the Rfam family "Bacterial large subunit ribosomal RNA". Lineage: Bacteria; Pseudomonadati; Pseudomonadota; Gammaproteobacteria; Enterobacterales; Enterobacteriaceae. The record is from RNAcentral.
GGUUAAGCGACUAAGCGUACACGGUGGAUGCCCUGGCAGUCAGAGGCGAUGAAGGACGUGCUAAUCUGCGAAAAGCGUCGGUAAGGUGAUAUGAACCGUUACAGCCGGCGAUGUCCGAAUGGGGAAACCCAGUGCAAUUCGUUGCACUAUCGUUAACUGAAUACAUAGGUUAACGAGGCGAACCGGGGGAACUGAAACAUCUAAGUACCCCGAGGAAAAGAAAUCAACCGAGAUUCCCCCAGUAGCGGCGAGCGAACGGGGAGCAGCCCAGAGUCUGAAUCAGCUUGUGUGUUAGUGGAACGGUCUGGAAAGUCCGACGGUACAGGGUGAUAGUCCCGUACACCAAAAUGCACAGGUUGUGAACUCGAAGAGUAGGGCGGGACACGUGGUAUCCUGUCUGAAUAUGGGGGGACCAUCCUCCAAGGCUAAAUACUCCUGACUGACCGAUAGUGAACCAGUACCGUGAGGGAAAGGCGAAAAGAACCCCGGCGAGGGGAGUGAAAAAGAACCUGAAACCGUGUACGUACAAGCAGUGGGAGCACCUUCGGGUGUGACUGCGUACCUUUUGUAUAAUGGGUCAGCGACUUAUAUUCUGUAGCAAGGUUAACCGUAUAGGGGAGCCGCAGGGAAACCGAGUCUUAACUGGGCGUUAAGUUGCAGGGUAUAGACCCGAAACCCGGUGAUCUAGCCAUGGGCAGGUUGAAGGUUGGGUAACACUAACUGGAGGACCGAACCGACUAAUGUUGAAAAAUUAGCGGAUGACUUGUGGCUGGGGGUGAAAGGCCAAUCAAACCGGGAGAUAGCUGGUUCUCCCCGAAAGCUAUUUAGGUAGCGCCUCGUGAACUCAUCUUCGGGGGUAGAGCACUGUUUCGGCUAGGGGGUCAUCCCGACUUACCAACCCGAUGCAAACUACGAAUACCGAAGAAUGUUAUCACGGGAGACACACGGCGGGUGCUAACGUCCGUCGUGAAGAGGGAAACAACCCAGACCGCCAGCUAAGGUCCCAAAGUCAUGGUUAAGUGGGAAACGAUGUGGGAAGGCACAGACAGCCAGGAUGUUGGCUUAGAAGCAGCCAUCAUUUAAAGAAAGCGUAAUAGCUCACUGGUCGAGUCGGCCUGCGCGGAAGAUGUAACGGGGCUAAACCAUGCACCGAAGCUGCGGCAGCGACACUAUGUGUUGUUGGGUAGGGGAGCGUUCUGUAAGCCUGCGAAGGUGUGCUGUGAGGCAUGCUGGAGGUAUCAGAAGUGCGAAUGCUGACAUAAGUAACGAUAAAGCGGGUGAAAAGCCCGCUCGCCGGAAGACCAAGGGUUCCUGUCCAACGUUAAUCGGGGCAGGGUGAGUCGACCCCUAAGGCGAGGCCGAAAGGCGUAGUCGAUGGGAAACAGGUUAAUAUUCCUGUACUUGGUGUUACUGCGAAGGGGGGACGGAGAAGGCUAUGUUAGCCGGGCGACGGUUGUCCCGGUUUAAGCAUGUAGGCUGAUUGUCCAGGCAAAUCCGGAUAAUCAAGGCUGAGGUGUGAUGACGAGGCACUACGGUGCUGAAGUAACAAAUGCCCUGCUUCCAGGAAAAGCCUCUAAGCAUCAGGUAACAUCAAAUCGUACCCCAAACCGACACAGGUGGUCAGGUAGAGAAUACCAAGGCGCUUGAGAGAACUCGGGUGAAGGAACUAGGCAAAAUGGUGCCGUAACUUCGGGAGAAGGCACGCUGGUGUGUAGGUGAAGUCCCUGCGGAUGGAGCUGAGACCAGUCGAAGAUACCAGCUGGCUGCAACUGUUUAUUAAAAACACAGCACUGUGCAAACACGAAAGUGGACGUAUACGGUGUGACGCCUGCCCGGUGCCGGAAGGUUAAUUGAUGGGGUUAUCCGUAAGGAGAAGCUCUUGAUCGAAGCCCCGGUAAACGGCGGCCGUAACUAUAACGGUCCUAAGGUAGCGAAAUUCCUUGUCGGGUAAGUUCCGACCUGCACGAAUGGCGUAAUGAUGGCCAGGCUGUCUCCACCCGAGACUCAGUGAAAUUGAACUCGCUGUGAAGAUGCAGUGUACCCGCGGCAAGACGGAAAGACCCCGUGAACCUUUACUAUAGCUUGACACUGAACAUUGAGCCUUGAUGUGUAGGAUAGGUGGGAGGCUUUGAAGCGUGGACGCCAGUCUGCGUGGAGCCAACCUUGAAAUACCACCCUUUAAUGUUUGAUGUUCUAACGUUGGCCCCUUACCGGGGUUGCGGACAGUGUCUGGUGGGUAGUUUGACUGGGGCGGUCUCCUCCCAAAGCGUAACGGAGGAGCACGAAGGUUAGCUAAUCCUGGUCGGACAUCAGGAGGUUAGUGCAAUGGCAUAAGCUAGCUUGACUGCGAGCGUGACGGCGCGAGCAGGUGCGAAAGCAGGUCAUAGUGAUCCGGUGGUUCUGAAUGGAAGGGCCAUCGCUCAACGGAUAAAAGGUACUCCGGGGAUAACAGGCUGAUACCGCCCAAGAGUUCAUAUCGACGGCGGUGUUUGGCACCUCGAUGUCGGCUCAUCACAUCCUGGGGCUGAAGUAGGUCCCAAGGGUAUGGCUGUUCGCCAUUUAAAGUGGUACGCGAGCUGGGUUUAGAACGUCGUGAGACAGUUCGGUCCCUAUCUGCCGUGGGCGCUGGAGAAUUGAGGGGGGCUGCUCCUAGUACGAGAGGACCGGAGUGGACGCAUCACUGGUGUUCGGGUUGUCAUGCCAAUGGCACUGCCCGGUAGCUAAAUGCGGAAGAGAUAAGUGCUGAAAGCAUCUAAGCACGAAACUUGCCCCGAGAUGAGUUCUCCCUGAGACUUUAAGUCUCCUGAAGGAACGUUGAAGACGACGACGUUGAUAGGCCGGGUGUGUAAGCGCAGCGAUGCGUUGAGCUAACCGGUACUAAUGAACCGUGAGGCUUAACCUU